GCCGAGGUGGCCCAGCGGUACGGCGCCAGACUUGAGAUCUGGUUCCCUUGUGGAUCGGGAGUUCGAAUCUCUCCCUCGGCGCCA
RNAcentral lists this transfer RNA (84 nucleotides) under Methanobacteriota archaeon. RNAcentral's name for it is "Euryarchaeota archaeon (hot springs metagenome) tRNA-Ser". It matches the Rfam family "tRNA". Rfam says of the family: Transfer RNA (tRNA) molecules are approximately 80 nucleotides in length. Their secondary structure includes four short double-helical elements and three loops (D, anti-codon, and T loops). Further hydrogen bonds mediate the characteristic L-shaped molecular structure. tRNAs have two regions of fundamental functional importance: the anti-codon, which is responsible for specific mRNA codon recognition, and the 3' end, to which the tRNAs corresponding amino acid is attached (by aminoacyl-tRNA synthetases). tRNAs cope with the degeneracy of the genetic code in two manners: having more than one tRNA (with a specific anti-codon) for a particular amino acid; and 'wobble' base-pairing, i.e. permitting non-standard base-pairing at the 3rd anti-codon position. The record is from RNAcentral. Lineage: Archaea; Methanobacteriati; Methanobacteriota. RNAcentral also lists the same sequence under 1 other name.